AGCAGGUGCCCAAGUCCUGGCUAUAUACGUGACUGCUAUCAGUUGUGCGGGGACAACGACACCAUGCAGCAUCACGCAGUGCCCGCGUACUUCCUUGUGCCAUCACGGCCGCCCCCGUUUCAUUCGCCGCANCCUCUUUCUCCGCCGCCGACCGGCUCUCUCCACGAGGUCCGGCUUGCCGAGCCGACGCGCCUGCGCGCCCUGCUGCCCUGGCCAAGAAUGUCCAAAGUUGCACGCGAACCCGCCUGAGCCAGGCUACCCCUUACCGCGCCGUUCUCAUGGCAACCGAGCUCGAGCGAUAAACAAUUCCGCCGCGAACCUAUGAGAGGGAAGCACCUCUGCACGCGCGACACAGCUGGGGGUAAUUCGGGUCCGGCGCGCCACCAGCCGGUGCCGCCAGGGCGCAGUCCCCGCGGCAGGAGCGAAGCGGACAGAGUGGCAGCGGGAGGGCAGCGUGCCUGAACGGGAAGGGGGCUCUGCCGCGCCAUGGGCUGCUCCAGCAGCGCUCAGACUCAGGUCGUGGACGGCAGCCGACCGGCUCCGAAAUCCCCAGACGCCAAUGGACCUUUCGCGGGCGAUGACAGUAAUUUGCCUGUCACAAAUGAAAAUGAAAUUAUACCUGAACAGACCAAACUUGGGGCAAUAGAUGAAGUGGAGCUUGGCUCUCGUGAAACAAAACUGAGUGACAAUCUAGCCAAAGAUGAGGCAGAUGCUUUGAUUCCGGGAAUAACAGACUGUACCCUUUCCACCUCUCAAAGAGUUGAUCCUGAGGGCACAGAGCCUCAGCCAAUGACAUUAGAAGAGAAGUUCAACAGCACUGGGCCUUUGACUGCUGGCCUUCUAGAAGCUGGUGAACCUCAGCCUGUGAAACUCCCAGAAGACACAACUACUAUGCCUCAGCUUUCCACAGAANUUGACACUUCGCAGUCAGAAACUGUGCAGGACAGCGAACCUGAACCUCCUGAGUCAACAGAGGGGAGCACACCUGAGCCAGUAGCUGCGGAGAACUUGAGUCUUGUGACAGAAAUUGUGAGGGAAUUUUUAGUGGCUGAAGAUGAACAGCCAGUCACAGGUGAGACAGGAGAAAAGACGGAAACUGAGAUGAACCAUGAGAUAGUGAGUGAGGACUCUGAAACAAAAGAAGAAGAAACCAGAGAAGCUACACCAGCAAUAGAGAUAGAAUCCAUUAAUAAUGAAGAAUGACUUAUGGCUGGACUUCCUGGACAACCUGGACUUCCUGGUAUCUCAGAUAGCAUCAGUACUCUAAUUCAAGAGAAUCUAGCUCUUGUAUAGACUUGCCACAACUUCUGAGCUAGAGGAAGAAGAGGGAGAACUUAUUUUGGGAGGUCAAGUUGCCAAGACAGCAAAUGAGGAGUUGCAAUAUUAAACCUUCAUGUAUGCCAUAGAGUGCCUUCUGCAAACUUUCCCUUCAGUGGAAUGAUGUAUUUAAAGAUGUUAACUUACCAGUUUAAUUUAUAAAAUUGAUACAUGUGAAGUACAAUCUAUUAAUUAGAUGAGUGCAUGUAGCAUUAGACUGUGCAGAUUCUCCCAUUCCAACAUUAGAUCUUAAGUGGGCUAUGAUGACUCUCACUAGGUUCUGGUAGUGAUUUUGCAGUUAUGAAAUUUUGCACCUUUACCAAUAGAAUUCUUUUGUACAGAUUCUCUUAUGUGUAAAUGGUUCAGGUAGGUUGGAACUUAAUGUUGCUGCUUUAGCACAAUCUGAAAAAAAAUACAUCAAUGCACAUUUUCUAAUGUGAAAUCUAAUGAAAAUCAUCAUACUCAACAUCCUUGAGGUUAGAAAUCAGCAUACAAUGAUGUCAUUCUGAAAUGAUGGGACAUACACCUGUUGAGAAUAACAUCUUCCCUAUUUAAAUAAGAAAUUACUGUUAUAGCAUAACACUAUGAUAUAUUGAAUUAUUAUUAGGAUAUGGUAGUAAAAUUGUUGAAAAUAAUUUGAUUUUUUUUUAUCAACCACAAUUAAGAUUCUAAUUGCCUGACACCAGAAUAUUCCUGACAGCCCAAGAAAUUAGUUUCAAAAAUCACAUCGGCUGUUGCUCAUAGUGCAGAAUUAUGUAUUUCUUGAAGAGUCAAGAUUUCUUCUNUUGUGCAUUUAUGAGAAUUCUGUUUUUAUUAAUCUGAUCUUUAUUUGAUACCAGAUAUGAAAACUGAAUCCUUCUGAUGUGUCUUUCAAAAGGAUGAGUAUUUUUUAAAAAGCAAGCAAAGAGAAGCUUAGUACAUGUUACCUAUGAUUCUAAAGGUUGCAUAGCUGGGGAAGNAGAUAUUGCGUAUCUUUUGACAACUUGUCUCUGAAGAAAAAAAAAACUUUGUUCAACAGCAAGAUAUGUUUGAUAUGGUUGUUUCUCAUACCUCUGUAUGCAAAAUCCAUACAAUGUACAGACUAAAAUAAAACUUUCAGAAUAUCUUUGAUCUGGCA
Molecule: long non-coding RNA, 2434 nt
Organism: Salvator merianae (Argentine black and white tegu)
Lineage: Eukaryota; Metazoa; Chordata; Lepidosauria; Squamata; Teiidae
Source: Ensembl